AUGGCAUCGACGCCGCCGCCGCCGCCGGCGGCGAAAUGUCCCUCGGCCGUUCCCACCACCAUACAAGAUCUCGACGACGACGUCCUCCGCGAGGUGUUCAUCCGCCUCCCCGCGCUCCCGAGCCUCGUCCGCGCCGCGCUCACCUGCCACGCCUUCCUCCGCGCCGUCCGCUCGUCCCCUGCCUUCCGCCGCCGCUUCCGGGAUCUCCACCCGUCUCCCUUUGUCGGCCUCUUCAUCCAACGCCUCAUCGAAAAAUGGGAGCCCGGCGUGACUUCCUUUGCCGCCCACCACCGCCGCUCCGACCGGGACUUCGCCGCCGCUGUACGCGGCGGCGAUUUCGCCCUCAACGGCCUCCCGGACCCAGACGACGACAAUGAAGACUGCGGCGACCAAGACAAGGACAGCAACGAGGCGGAGGCGGAGGAGGACAGCGACGAAGAAGUUGAGAACAACGAAGAUGAGGAGGACAGCGACGAAGAAGAUGAGACGGAGGAGGAGGAGGAUCCCUCUCCGGUGUGGGAGAUCGAGCGAUGCAGUGACGGCUACGUGGUCCUCUUUAACCGGAUGGCCAGGCAGAUCGCCGCCUACAACCCUCUCACGCGGGCGCUGCAUCUCUUCCCCUCGCCGCCGGGCAUCUUCAAAAGCGCCUUGACCUUUCAGUUCCACUUAAUCUCCUCGGAAGAGCACCCCGGCUCGCCGCCCCGUGUGGUUUGUUUCUACUGUGGCUACCUUUACGCCUCCGUCGGCGUCAUCUCGCCGGAGAGCACCGAGAUUAAGUGGCAGAUAUUCCCUGAGCCUUUGAUACCGGGGGCAGUGGGAGCCACCGGCAAGAUGGUGAACGGAUCCCUCUACUGGACACACCCAGGGAGACUCUACAUCACCGUGCUCGACACCGCGACGCUGCAGUUCUCUAGAAUGGAACUGCCGCCGCUCUUGGCGGUGGAAGAAGGCAGUAACCGUGAUUGUGAUUUUGUGCUUGGUAAUACCAAGGAUGGGAGGCCCUGCAUCGUCUCCCCGGAUCCGUGGGGUGGUUGUGAGCUCCUAGUCUUUUUCUGGAGACCCGAUGAAUACGACGGUGUUGAGAGGUGGAAGCUGGACCAGGAGUUCAAACUGAAAACGAUCCGUCGGCUCACUGAGAUUGAAGACGAUGCUUAUGUCGUUGUGCAUGUUAUGGAUGUUACCGAUGGAAUCGUGUACAUGCGUACUGCCUAUGACGGGUAUACUGAAGUUCCUCAACUGCUCCUAUCCUUUUGUCUCGAGACAGCCGAGCUGAAAAAGAUCUGUGAAUACGAUCACAAGCUCCAUCCCUACGUCAUGGCGUGGCCUCCUUCUUUGGUAGGAGUACAUGAUAAGGGGCACCCCUCAAAUGAUCAAGCUCUGUCUACCCCGAGCUCCGAAGGAAGCGAUGUGAAGGCUGGAGGUGGCCCAACAGAGCCUGCAGCAUCGGUUCCCAAAGCAUAA
Molecule: ribosomal RNA, 1461 nt
Filed under: Triticum aestivum (bread wheat)
Lineage: Eukaryota; Viridiplantae; Streptophyta; Magnoliopsida; Poales; Poaceae
Description: partial small subunit ribosomal RNA
Source: RNAcentral